UGCUCAACUGAUGACUGAUGACCGAUGAU
RNAcentral lists this non-coding RNA (29 nucleotides) under Rattus norvegicus (Norway rat). The record is from RNAcentral. Lineage: Eukaryota; Metazoa; Chordata; Mammalia; Rodentia; Muridae.